Molecule: unclassified non-coding RNA, 3171 nt
Filed under: Hevea brasiliensis (rubber tree)
Lineage: Eukaryota; Viridiplantae; Streptophyta; Magnoliopsida; Malpighiales; Euphorbiaceae
Source: RNAcentral
UAUUUUCCUAUCAGCGUUCCCAAUCUAUCCCCAGGUGUUAACCAUGAACCAGAAACGAACCAUGAACCGCGCUUUUUUAAGCAGCUGGCCGUCUCAUUAAACCAACAAAGCGUUGAGAGCUAUGGAAUUACAGAGAGGAUUUCCUCUGCUAUACCAGCAAUCUAAAGCUCUAUUGAAGAAGAACCUGUUGCUUUCAUGGAGGAACAAGAGCGCCUCAUUCCUCCAGUUGUUUUCAUCCUUGUUCUUCAUUUUCCUCCUCUUCUGCAUCGAAAAAGCCAUGAACGCUGCCAACUCCGACACCACGGCGUAUAAGUCGGUACUCGAUCCUCAGCCUCUGGUUUCGCCGCCGAUCCCUCCCUGCGAGGACAAGUUCUACAUUAAGAAGCCUUGCUUCGACUUUGUAUGGAGCGGAAACUAUAGCGAUAGACUGAAUCGUAUUGUCAGUUCAAUCAUGGCAAAUAAUCCUGGCAGGGUGAUUACGUCCAAUAAGGUUAAAUCAUUCAGAACAACAGACGAUGUAGACUUUUGGCUUUUGAAUAAUCCUAUGCAUUGCCCUGGAGCUCUGCAUUUCAAAGAUAUAAAUGCCACUGUUAUCAGCUAUGGCGUACAGACUAAUUCUACCCGAGUUAUGAAUCGGGGGUAUUCUGAAGAUCCUACAUUCAAAUUUCAAAUCCCACUUCAGAUUGCAGCAGAGCGUGAAAUUGCUCGGUCUAUCAUUGGAGAUCCAAACUUUAGCUGGGUAGUUGGACUUAAAGAAUUUGCACACCCAGCAAAAAACAAUUUCUCUGUGUUGGCUUCAAUUGGACCAACUUUCUUUCUUGCGUUUGCCAUGUUUGGGUUUGUGAUGCAAAUUGGAUCUUUGGUGGUAGAGAAGGAACUCAAACUUCGCCAGGCAAUGAGUAUGACAGGUCUUUAUGAAUCUGCUUAUUGGUUCUCUUGGAUCACAUGGGAAGGAAUACUUUCACUCGUAUCAUCACUUCUCCUUGUUCUUUUUGGAAUGAUGUUUCAGUUUGACAUGUUCAAGAAAAACAAUUUUGCAGUUGUGUUUCUUGUGUUCUAUCUUUUUCAGCUCAAUAUGGUUGGUUUUGCGUUUUUGUUGUCAAACUUCAUUAGCAAGUCAUCUUCAGCCACAACAGUCGGUUUCUCCGUAUUUAUUGUUGGCUUUUUUACACAGAUUGUUACCAUAUUUGGAUUCCCAUAUGGUAUCCAUGUCGCUAGUAUUCUACGAACUCUCUGGUCAUUAUUCCCACCCAAUCUUCUUGGUAUAGCUGUGAAUUUGCUUGCUCAGGCAACUGCCACUCCUGAAGAUGUUGGGAUCAGCUGGAGUAGACGGUCAGAGUGUGUACGAGAUGAUAGUGCAGCAGACAAGUGUGUAAUAUCAAUUAAUGAUGUUUACUUAUGGCUUACAUCUACGUUCUUUGUCUGGUUUGUUUUGGCAAUCUACUUCGACAAUAUAAUUCCAAAUGCAUAUGGUGUCAGAAAACCUAUAUUUUAUUUCUUAAAGCCUGGGUAUUGGACUGGAAAAGGUGGAAAUAGAGUGGAAGAGGGUGGCAUUUGUAGUUGCAUGGGUUCAGUCCCACAACAAGAGCAUAUUACUCCAGAAGAUGAGGAUGUGCUUGAAGAGGAAAAUAUUGUUAAACAAGAAGCAAAAGAUGGCUUAGUCAAUCCAGAGGUUGCAGUUCAGGUACGUGGACUUGCAAAGGUAUAUGCUGGGACUACGAAGAUUGGUUGUUGUAAAUGCAAGAAAACUUCACCUUACCAUGCUCUCAAGGGCUUAUGGAUGAACUUUGCAAAGGAUCAGUUAUUUUGUCUCCUUGGACCAAAUGGCGCUGGAAAAACUACCGCAAUCAAUUGUUUGACAGGCUUAACACCUGUGACCAGUGGAGAUGCUUUGAUUUAUGGAUAUUCCAUUCGGAGCCCUGUUGGCAUGUCCAACAUUCGAAGAAUCAUAGGAGUUUGUCCCCAGUUUGACAUCCUUUGGGAUGCAUUAUCUGGUGCAGAGCAUCUCCAUCUCUUUGCUAGCAUUAAAGGCCUACCCCCAGAUUCAAUAAAUUUGGUUGCUGAGGAAUCAUUAGCAGAGGUAAGACUCACUGAGGCAGCUAAAGUGAGAACCAGGAGUUACAGUGGAGGAAUGAGACGCCGGCUCAGUGUUGCAAUAGCACUUAUUGGGAACCCAAAGUUGGUCAUUCUAGACGAACCGACUACUGGUAUGGAUCCAAUAUCGAGAAGACAUGUCUGGGAUAUAAUACAGAAUGCAAAGAAAGGUCGUUCCAUUGUCCUGACAACACAUUCAAUGGAAGAAGCUGACAUUCUAAGUGAUCGCAUAGGAAUUAUGGCCAAGGGUAGGCUCCGAUGCAUCGGAACAUCAAUCAGGUUGAAGUCGAGAUUCGGUACCGGUUUCAUCACUAAUGUGAGCUUUAUUGAAAGCAAUGCUGAACAAUCUCCUCCAAAUGCAUCCGUGGAUCUUUCCAAUCAACACGAGGAUGUAAAGCAGUUUUUCAAAUAUCAUUUGGAUGUAAUGCCAGCAGAGGAGACCAAAUCCUACCUGACUUUUGUCAUUCCCCAUGAUAGGGAGAAGCUUUUAACGAGAUUUUUUUCGGAGCUUCAAGAUAGAGAAAGAGAAUUUGCUAUAGCCGAUAUCCAAAUUGGCCUUGCAACGCUUGAAGAAGUUUUCUUAAAUAUUGCCAAGCAGGCAGAGCUAGAAAGUGCUGCAGCUGAGGGGAGGUUGGUUACUUUGACCUUAACAUCUGGAGCCUCAGUUCAGAUACCUAUAGGAGCUAGAUUUGUUGGGAUUCCGGGAACACAAUCUCCAGAGAAUCCUAGAGGCAUAAUGGUUGAAGUAUACUGGGAGCAAGAUGAUUCCGGUUCUCUCUGCAUUUCUGGUCACUCUGCUGAAAUGCCUCUGCCUCUUAACGUUCAACAAUUUAUUUCUGCAUCACAGCCACGUUCUAAUAUAAAUUUCCUCCGCCGGGGUAAAGAACCAGUUUAUGGAAUCAUGAUCGAUCCGAAUCAGAUUAGUCCUAGUAAUUAUUAACAAUCAUAAACUCUUAUUUAUUCUAUUAUUCUACACCUCUCUGAUUUAGCGGUAUUAGUCCAUAGCUUUUUCUUUGGCUAUUUGUAUAGGACUUGAUAUUUGAAUAGUUCAAAAUAAUAUCUCUAUUUCCCUUCUGG